AGAUGAGCUCGCGUUCUAUCAGCUAGUUGGUGGGGUAAAAGCCUACCAAGGCUACGACGGAUAGCUGGUCUGAGAGGACGAUCAGCCACACUGGGACUGAGACACGGCCCAGACUCCUACGGGAGGCUGCAGCAGGGAAUAUUGUGCAAUGAGCGAAAGCUUGACGCAGCGACACCGCGUGUGGGAUGACGGUUCUAGGAUUGUAAACCACUUUCAGGAGGGAAGAAAAUGACGGUACCU
RNAcentral lists this ribosomal RNA (240 nucleotides) under uncultured Actinomycetes bacterium. RNAcentral describes it as "uncultured actinobacterium partial 16S ribosomal RNA". It matches the Rfam family "Bacterial small subunit ribosomal RNA", at positions 223 to 480 of the family's 1533-position model. Lineage: Bacteria; Bacillati; Actinomycetota; Actinomycetes. The record is from RNAcentral.